Molecule: long non-coding RNA, 812 nt
Organism: Vigna angularis (adzuki bean)
Lineage: Eukaryota; Viridiplantae; Streptophyta; Magnoliopsida; Fabales; Fabaceae
Exons: 3
Source: RefSeq, a predicted model, not a curated record
UCUCUAACUUUCAUUUUUCGAGCCAAAAUAUUGCGUUUCUUUCUUCGAACCCUCACCAGCAUUCCCCCUUUGUCGGAGACAUCAAACCCUCACCAGCUUUCUCGUUUCUUCCAGCCAUCAAACCGUCACCAACAUUGCCCAAAUUUGGGAGGUUUUGUUGUCGGAGGUCGUCUCAGUCACCAACAUUCCCCAACGUUCCGUGGUUGUAGGGGCUGCGUCACAAAUUUGUUGUGGGUGCGUCAGGAGGGCUUCGUGGAGGAGGGCACAACGGUGAGGAGGGGCUUCGUGGUGUGUGGAAGAGGCAACAAUCGAAGAAAACCCAGCUGCUGGACUUGUCUGGCGUCGAUAUUUUCCAACUUAGAGACCUUAUUCAUUUGAGGUAGCAUCUUUAGGAAGAGGAGCUAAAACAAAAUAUUGGUUGAAUAGGGAAGUUUCAGGCAGCUGUAAGUGGUAGCUUCAGUUCAAAAAUCUACAACCUAACAUGGCCCAUUUUCCCAAUCAUCGUGGAUGGAUGUACGAUCGUUGUUAUAGUGGAAAGGUUUGAAGGAAUCUUUUGUCCUUGGAGUUGAAGAGUUUGUGGAGACGGCCCGACGAUGUCAAUAUUAUGCCCUUGAUGGAGGGAUUCGAUGUCCAUGCAUCAAGUGCGAAUGUACAAUGAUUUUGAAAGAUGAAGUCGUCAAAGUUCACCUUUACCAAAAAGGGUUCAUGCCUAAUGUACAUUAUUAGUUUCAUUUGUUUAUUAUAACUUAGACAAACAUUUAGAUAUUAUAACAUUUUGGACUUUAUAUCAUUUCAGUGUUAAUUUUAUCUAC